AGGACGAACGCUGGCGGCGUGCUUAACACAUGCAAGUCGAGCGACGCUCCUCCUUCGGGAGGAUGACGGAGCGGCGAACGGGUGAGUAACACGUGGGCAACCUGCCCCUAGCUCUGGGAUAACCCCGGGAAAUCGGGACUAAUACCGGAUAUGACCUCGGAAGGCAUCUUCUGAGGUGGAAAAGGUUUACUGGCUAGGGAUGGGUCCGCGGCCUAUCAGCUUGUUGGUGGGGUAACGGCCCACCAAGGCGACGACGGGUAGCCGGCCUGAGAGGGCGACCGGCCACACUGGGACUGAGACACGGCCCAGACUCCUACGGGAGGCAGCAGUGGGGAAUAUUGCACAAUGGGCGAAAGCCUGAUGCAGCGACGCCGCGUGAGGGAUGAAUGCCUUCGGGUUGUAAACCUCUUUCAGCAGGGACGAAGCGCAAGUGACGGUACCUGCAGAAGAAGCACCGGCCAACUACGUGCCAGCAGCCGCGGUAA
RNAcentral lists this ribosomal RNA (485 nucleotides) under uncultured bacterium. RNAcentral describes it as "SSU rRNA". It matches the Rfam family "Bacterial small subunit ribosomal RNA", at positions 26 to 523 of the family's 1533-position model. The record is from RNAcentral.